ACUUAAGCAUAUCAAUAAGCGGAGGAAAAGAAACCAACAGGGAUUGCCUCAGUAACGGCGAGUGAAGCGGCAACAGCUCAAAUUUGAAAUCUGGCCCCCAGGCCCGAGUUGUAAUUUGUAGAGGAUGAUUCUGGCGACGCGCCUUCCGAGUUCCCUGGAACGGGACGCCAAGAGGGUGAGAGCCCCGUCCGGUCGUGCGCCUAGCCUAUGUGAAUCUCCUUCGACGAGUCGAGUAGUUUGGGAAUGCUGCUCUAAAUGGGAGGUAUACGUCUUCUAAAGCUAAAUACCGGCCAGAGACCGAUAGCGCACAAGUAGAGUGAUCGAAAGAUGAAAAGCACUUUGAAAAGAGGGUUAAAUAGUACGUGAAAUUGCUGAAAGGGAAGCGCUUAUGACCAGACUUGGGCUAGGUGAAUCAUCCGGCGUUCUCGCCGGUGCACUUUGCCUGUCCAGGCCAGCAUCAGUUCGCUUCGGGGGAUAAAGGCUUCGGGAAUGUAGCUCCUUCGGGAGUGUUAUAGANCCGUUGUGUAAUACCCUGGGGUGGACUGAAGGUACGCGUUCGC
Molecule: ribosomal RNA, 560 nt
Filed under: Geosmithia sp. MK1790
Lineage: Eukaryota; Fungi; Ascomycota; Sordariomycetes; Hypocreales; Bionectriaceae
Description: eukaryotic LSU rRNA
Rfam family: Eukaryotic large subunit ribosomal RNA
Source: RNAcentral